AUCUGCUCCCAGAGCCAGCCAAUCUCCCACUGCUGCAGAUAGUGGGUGUUGUGUCUCCAUAUAGGGGCUGGUGCACACAGAGGAUAAUAAUCGACUUCUUCUGCCUGUCACCCCGUCGCUCAGCUAUCUGUCUCUGGAUUCUCUCUCUGCCAUUGCAUGGACGAUUGUACUCGCUCUGCCAUUCAUCCCCCAUACCAGUGACUCUGAGGUGCUGGGCAGGGCUGAGCUGGGAUCCGUUCACCUGGUUACCGCUGUCCUUGAUUUCGUACCCGCAGAAUAAUUCCCGGAGCUGUCGCUGGACACCUCAUCGACAUAGUCAUAGGUAACCUUCUCCUCCAAGCACCUCUGGGAUGAAAUCUCCUCCCUGUCCUUACAGAAGAUGACAUGGGUGGCUGGGGUCCAGGAGAACAUGGAACACUGGAGCAGCACGGAGUCUCCCUACCAGACAGAAGUCUGGCUCAGGUAGAAGAUUGGGGCAGGGAGAGCUCCUGGCAAGGGGAAUGGGUGAAAGCCAUUAAUGGGGCUGUCGAGCAACAACUGGGUGAACAGAUCCCAGCUCAGCCCUGCCAAGUACCUCAGUGUCACUGGUCAUGGGGGUGAUGAGCAGAGUAAGUACAAUUGUCCAUGCAAUGGUAGAGAGAGAAUCCACAGACAGAUAGCUGUGCAACAAUGGUGAUGGGCAGAAGAAGUAAGAUUUUUAUUCUCUGUAUGUACCAGCCCCUAUAUGGAGACAGUAGUGGGAGGUUGGAUGGCUCUGUGAGCAGAUACUGGUUAUAGAGUUAGAGGCAGCGUAGCCAAGCAUAUAAAUCUGGCACAUUCCCUGUGAAAGGCAGUGAGACAAAGUGGAUGAGAAUGGGGUUUGCCAUUUUAGAGCCCUCUGCCCUAUUCCCAGUCUGCUCAAGUGACCUUGUGCAACCCUUCCUUGUCUAUACAAGGGGUGAAUGAUGGUGUCACCUAUACCGUAGGGCCCAUGAGCUCUCAGCUAGUACUAGGGGCUGUGAAGAGCACAGAGAAGUUACUAACACUCAGUGGAAGAGCUGGGCCUAGAGCACAAGGUCUCCUGGCUCGUAGCUGAGUGCCACCCUCAGGCUCCAGGAAACUUUGUGGGGAGUCCAUGAUCCCCCCCACAAUUCUGCAAAGGGUGACAGGGCUGCCAAAUGCCCAUGAAGCGUGUGACACCUGGCAUGUCUGAAGGAGCCAGGAUGAGCCCCUUUGGGGAGGUUUCCAUUCAAGGAACAGUCAUGUCCCAUUUGACUGGUGUAGGGGGCUGGGCCUCAGCCAUCGCAGCCAUGUUUCUCACACACUGAGUGUCACCUGGAGGCACUGACAAGCCCAGAUUCUCCUUGUCCCCAUUGCACAGACUAGGCGAGCAGCAGUGGAGAGGAGUCAGACCCCACAGCUCACAGACGGCUCUUGGGCAAGACCCCGGGGAUCUGAGCCCAUCUCUAUCCCCCCAGCUCUCCCCUUGCUGCAUAGAGACUUUGGGUCAAACUCAUCCCUGGGGAAACUCCUCUGCCUGCAGCAGUUACCUCAGGGGGAGACCCAGCUCUCUGCAGUUAAACCCAGCCUGUGCAGAGGGGCCAGCCCCAGGGCCAGGCAG
Molecule: long non-coding RNA, 1600 nt
Filed under: Chrysemys picta bellii (western painted turtle)
Lineage: Eukaryota; Metazoa; Chordata; Testudines; Emydidae
Description: lncRNA (ENSCPBG00000002088.1)
Source: RNAcentral